This 473-nucleotide ribosomal RNA is filed under the name uncultured bacterium. RNAcentral describes it as "bacterial SSU rRNA". It matches the Rfam family "Bacterial small subunit ribosomal RNA", at positions 335 to 799 of the family's 1533-position model. The record is from RNAcentral.
ACUCCUACGGGAGGCAGCAGUGGGGAAUAUUGCACAAUGGGCGCAAGCCUGAUGCAGCCAUGCCGCGUGUAUGAAGAAGGCCUUCGGGUUGUAAAGUACUUUCAGCAGUGAGGAAGGUAGUGUAGUUAAUAGCUGCAUUAUUUGACGUUAGCUGCAGAAGAAGCACCGGCUAACUCCGUGCCAGCAGCCGCGGUAAUACGGAGGGUGCGAGCGUUAAUCGGAAUUACUGGGCGUAAAGCGCAUGCAGGUGGUUUGUUAAGUCAGAUGUGAAAGCCCGGGGCUCAACCUCGGAAUUGCAUUUGAAACUGGCAGACUAGAGUACUGUAGAGGGGGGUAGAAUUUCAGGUGUAGCGGUGAAAUGCGUAGAGAUCUGAAGGAAUACCGGUGGCGAAGGCGGCCCCCUGGACAGAUACUGACACUCGGAUGCGAAAGCGUGGGGAGCAAACAGGAUUAGAUACCCUGGUAGCACAGAG